Long non-coding RNA from Lagenorhynchus albirostris (white-beaked dolphin), 1080 nucleotides. RefSeq lists it as uncharacterized. NCBI's taxonomy places the organism in Eukaryota, Metazoa, Chordata, Mammalia, Artiodactyla, Delphinidae. The record is from RefSeq and is a predicted model, not a curated record. The transcript has 3 exons.
CCACCCUCCCGCAGCAUCAGAGAGGAGGUGCAACGGAGAGAAGGAAUAAGGGAGUCGUCUGCGGCUCUACAACGGGAUUCCACGCAGCCACAAGCGAACACUCGGCUGAACCUCACCAACCUGCCGCGACCCAGAACGGCGAGCUUCUAGAGAAAGCCCAAUGAGCGCGGUGGAAGAUCGGGCGGGCCGCGUGCGGGGCGCAUAGGCCGCGGGAACCUUCGGGCCCGACGGUCUGAGCGCCGCACUCGGAGGCGCCAGUCCCGGGGAAACGGCUCUGGAACCCAGGGGGUAGCCAGGAGAGCCGGACACCGGGAGAGGGGCCCACAAGACGGAGAGCCAGGAGGAGCACGGGCGCGGAGUGCCCUCCGCGGCACAGCGACACCCCCGGGCCUCUGCCAGCGCCGCCUUUCCCGCCCGCCCCCGGCCUGGAGUACCUGGGCGGCCUCGCGGAUCCCGGAAACGGCGCGGGGGCGGAGCGCUCUCUGACGCCUGCGCUUGCGCUUGCGCUUGCGCGCGGGCCCCAUGUAUGCGCCUGCGCACACUUUCUCAGCGCCGGAACCUGAUGUCUGCGCCUGCGCGCGGGGCUGGGCCACCUGGGCUUCUGGCUACUUCCCCCCCAACCCCGCGCUGAGGCCGGGCCGGGGGUAACACUCUGCGGGUCUGAUCCAGCCAUGCCUGAUAGGAACCGGAAGAGGAACUUGGAGUCACCUGUGUCCAGUCUGAGCUCAAGCCAGUUAAGGCUGGUUGGGACCACCAACCCUAAAACUGGGCCUGCACAGGUGUCCAGUGAAUGACCUUUUGACAUCGGAGGGCCCAACCCCCCACCCUCAGAUCAUGUCCAUUUUUUAACAUGGUCCCAUGAAGAAGCAGCUUGUAGGAUCUAGUUCACCGAACAUGGAACCAGGCCCGGGCCGUCGGCAGUGAAAGUGUUGGAGUGCUCAUCACUGGGCUGCCAGGAAUUCCCCCAACCUGCUUCUUUGUCCCGUAAAUAUCCCACGCCCCUACUUCGGGGAAGCCAAUCUGAGAUCUGUCCUCCCGUCCCCUCACUUGGCUGCCUAUGAAUAAACCCUUUCUCUGCUG